GAGGAAUAUUGGUCAAUGGGCGCAAGCCUGAACCAGCCAUCCCGCGUGCAGGAAGACGGCCCUAUGGGUUGUAAACUGCUUUUCCAGGGGGAGAAUUUUUCUGUCGUGACAGGAAUUGACGGUACCCUGGGAAUAAGCAUCGGCUAACUCCGUGCCAGCAGCCGCGGUAAUACGGAGGAUGCGAGCGUUAUCCGGAUUUAUUGGGUUUAAAGGGUGCGUAGGCGGAUUGAUAAGUCAGUGGUGAAAACCUGCGGCUUAACUGUAGACUUGCCGUUGAUACUGUCAGUCUUGAGUGUGGUCAAGGUAGGCGGAAUGUGUAAUGUAGCGGUGAAAUGCUUAGAUAUUACACAGAACACCGAUUGCGAAGGCAGCUUACUGGGCCAUUACUGACGCUGAUGCACGAAAGCGUGGGGAUCGAACAG
RNAcentral lists this ribosomal RNA (422 nucleotides) under uncultured bacterium. Its description in RNAcentral is "bacterial SSU rRNA". It matches the Rfam family "Bacterial small subunit ribosomal RNA", at positions 356 to 775 of the family's 1533-position model. The record is from RNAcentral.